Molecule: transfer RNA, 73 nt
Filed under: Nilaparvata lugens yeast-like symbiont
Lineage: Eukaryota; Fungi; Ascomycota
Description: tRNA-Val (TAC) (tRNA-Val-TAC-3-1)
Rfam family: tRNA
About the family: Transfer RNA (tRNA) molecules are approximately 80 nucleotides in length. Their secondary structure includes four short double-helical elements and three loops (D, anti-codon, and T loops).
Source: RNAcentral
UCCAGUAUGGUGGUAGUGGCUAACAUCGCUAGCUCUUACAGAGCAGCCCUGGGUUCGAUUCCCAGUACCGGAG